Hyla sarda is the source of this 230-nucleotide long non-coding RNA. RefSeq lists it as uncharacterized. The record is from RefSeq and is a predicted model, not a curated record. Lineage: Eukaryota; Metazoa; Chordata; Amphibia; Anura; Hylidae. The transcript has 2 exons.
ACACGUGGCUCCAGGAGUAUGUGGACAGUGACGCAAUGUCCAUACACCACCACAAUGACAACAAAGACAUCAAUAUGUGAUUGAAAGGCUGAAAAACGUGGAUGUGUUGUCCCAGCACCAAAGGCUGUCCAGUGGCUUCGGACUGCUUUGGGUGGACCUGCGGCACAGGUGCUGGGCUCCCCUAAAGGACUGGUUAUCCCUGGUCUUUUGUUCAAGCACUUUAUUAAAUG